UACGAAGGGGGCUAGCGUUGCUCGGAAUCACUGGGCGUAAAGGGUGCGUAGGCGGGUUUUUAAGUCAGGGGUGAAAUCCUGGAGCUCAACUCCAGAACUGCCUUUGAUACUGGCGAGCUUGAGUCCGGGAGAGGUGAGUGGAACUGCGAGUGUAGAGGUGAAAUUCGUAGAUAUUCGCAAGAACACCAGUGGCGAAGGCGGCUCACUGGCCCGGUACUGACGCUGAGGUGCGAAAGCGUGGGGAGCAAACAGG
This 253-nucleotide ribosomal RNA is filed under the name uncultured bacterium. RNAcentral's name for it is "partial 16S ribosomal RNA". It matches the Rfam family "Bacterial small subunit ribosomal RNA", at positions 524 to 776 of the family's 1533-position model. The record is from RNAcentral.